UACCCAUGUCCAGGAUGAAGGUAAGGUAAUACUUACUGGAGGUCCGAACCCACGCACGUUGAAAAGUGCGGGGAUGAGGUGUGGGUAGCGGAGAAAUUCCAAUCGAACUUGGAGAUAGCUGGUUCUCUCCGAAAUAGCUUUAGGGCUAGCCUCGAGGUAAAGAGUCAUGGAGGUAGAGCACUGUUUGGACUAGGGGCCCUUCUCGGGUUACCGAAUUCAGAUAAACUCCGAAUGCCAUGUACUUAUACUCGGGAGUCAGACUGCGAGUGAUAAGAUCCGUAGUCGAAAGGGAAACAGCCCAGACCACCAGUUAAGGUCCCCAAAUAUAUGUUAAGUGGAAAAGGAUGUGGGGUUGCUUAGACAACCAGGAUGUUGGCUUAGAAGCAGCCACCAUUGAAAGAGUGCGUAAUAGCUCACUGGUCGAGUGACCCCGCGCCGAAAAUGUACCGGGGCUAAACAUAUUACCGAAACUGUGGAUGAACCUCUUUAGAGGUUCGUGGUAGGAGAGCGUUCUAAGGGCGGUGAAGUCAGACCGGAAGGACUGGUGGAGCGCUUAGAAGUGAGAAUGCCGGUAUGAGUAGCGAAAGAAGGGUGAGAAUCCCUUCCACCGAAUAUCUAAGGUUUCCUGAGGAAGGCUCGUCCGCUCAGGGUUAGUCGGGACCUAAGCCGAGGCCGAUAGGCGUAGGCGAUGGACAACAGGUAGAGAUUCCUGUACCAGUGCUAAUUGUUUAACCGAUGGGGUGACACAGAAGGAUAGGGAAUCGCACGAAUGGAAAUGUGCGUCCAAGCAGUGAGUGUGAGAAGUAGGCAAAUCCGCUUCUCGCGAAGCAUGAGCUGUGAUGGGGAAGGAAAUUAAGUACGGAAGUUCCUGAUUUCACGCUGUCAAGAAAAGCCUCUAGGAAGAGUAGUACUGCCCGUACCGCAAACCGACACAGGUAGAUGAGGAGAGAAUCCUAAGGUGAGCGAGAGAACUCUCGUUAAGGAACUCGGCAAAAUGACCCCGUAACUUCGGGAGAAGGGGUGCUCUAUUAGGGUGCAAGCCCGAGAGAGCCGCAGUGAAUAGGCCCAGGCGACUGUUUAGCAAAAACACAGGUCUCUGCAAAACCGUAAGGUGACGUAUAGGGGCUGACGCCUGCCCGGUGCUGGAAGGUUAAGAGGAGUGCUUAGCUUCGGCGAAGGUACGAAUUGAAGCCCCAGUAAACGGCGGCCGUAACUAUAACGGUCCUAAGGUAGCGAAAUUCCUUGUCGGGUAAGUUCCGACCCGCACGAAAGGCGCAACGAUCUGGGCACUGUCUCAACGAGAGACUCGGUGAAAUUAUAGUACCUGUGAAGAUGCAGGUUACCCGCGACAGGACGGAAAGACCCCGUGGAGCUUUACUGCAACCUGAUAUGGAAUGUUUGUACCGCUUGUACAGGAUAGGUAGGAGCCGAAGAGACGUGUGCGCUAGCAUACGAGGAGGCAAUGGUGGGAUACUACCCUGGCUGUAUGACCAUUCUAACCCGCCACGCUUAGCGCGUGGGGAGACAGUGUCAGGUGGGCAGUUUGACUGGGGCGGUCGCCUCCUAAAGAGUAACGGAGGCGCCCAAAGGUUCCCUCAGAAUGGAUGGAAAUCAUUCGCAGAGUGUAAAGGCACAAGGGAGCUUGACUGCGAGACUGACAAGUCGAGCAGGGACGAAAGUCGGGCUUAGUGAUCCGGUGGUUCCGCAUGGAAGGGCCAUCGCUCAACGGAUAAAAGCUACCCCGGGGAUAACAGGCUUAUCUCCCCCAAGAGUCCACAUCGACGGGGAGGUUUGGCACCUCGAUGUCGGCUCGUCGCAUCCUGGGGCUGUAGUCGGUCCCAAGGGUUGGGCUGUUCGCCCAUUAAAGCGGCACGCGAGCUGGGUUCAGAACGUCGUGAGACAGUUCGGUCCCUAUCCGUCGCGGGCGCAGGAAAUUUGAGAGGAGCUGUCCUUAGUACGAGAGGACCGGGAUGGACACACCGCUGGUGUACCAGUUGUUCCGCCAGGAGCAUCGCUGGGUAGCUAUGUGUGGCAGGGAUAAACGCUGAAAGCAUCUAAGCGUGAAGCCCCCCUCAAGAUGAGAUUUCCCAUUUCUUCGGAAAGUAAGAUCCCUGAAAGAUGAUCAGGUAGAUAGGUUUGGAGUGGAAGUGUAGCGAUACAUGGAGCGGACAAAUACUAAUCGAUCGAGGACUUAACCAAAA
This 2201-nucleotide ribosomal RNA is filed under the name Listeria monocytogenes. Its description in RNAcentral is "partial 23S ribosomal RNA". It matches the Rfam family "Bacterial large subunit ribosomal RNA", at positions 731 to 2925 of the family's 2925-position model. The record is from RNAcentral. Lineage: Bacteria; Bacillati; Bacillota; Bacilli; Caryophanales; Listeriaceae.